CCUACGGGUGGCAGCAGUGAGGAAUAUUGGUCAAUGGCCGGAAGGCUGAACCAGCCAUGCCGCGUGAAGGUCAGUGCCCUAUGGGCGUUAAACUUCUUUUGUGCGGGAGCAAUAAUGGUCACGUGUGGCCAGACGAGAGUACCGUACGAAUAAGCAUCGGCUAACUCCGUGCCAGCAGCCGCGGUAAUACGGGGGAUGCAAGCGUUAUCCGGAUUUAUUGGGUUUAAAGGGUGAGAAGGCUGUGAGGUAAGUCAGCGGUGAAAUGCCCCCGCUCAACGGGGUGAAGUGCCAUUGAUACUGGCUGGCUGGAAUGCGGAUGCCGUGGGAGGAAGGUGUGGUGUAGCGGUGAAAUGCAUAGAUAUCACACAGAACACCGAUUGCGAAGGCAUCUCACGAAUCCGCGAUUGACGCUGAUGCACGAAAGCGUGGGUAUCAAACAGGAUUAGAUACCCUUGUAGUC
RNAcentral lists this ribosomal RNA (460 nucleotides) under uncultured bacterium. Its description in RNAcentral is "partial 16S ribosomal RNA". It matches the Rfam family "Bacterial small subunit ribosomal RNA", at positions 338 to 795 of the family's 1533-position model. The record is from RNAcentral.